UUUACCCUGCCCUGUUCGUGAUGCUCAACAAAGUCCUUGAACCGUAGUUAUACGAUCCUGGGACACCAAGCUGUGGUUGUGGCCGACAGGCCUUUACUGGAAGUCGAAAGCAAUCCGGCCCGUCCCACAUGUUGCAAAACAUGUUCAAAGGAAAAGUUACACACGGCAAGGGUGGGGUGCCU
Molecule: non-coding RNA, 182 nt
Filed under: Verrucomicrobiota bacterium
Lineage: Bacteria; Pseudomonadati; Verrucomicrobiota
Description: Verrucomicrobia bacterium (marine sediment metagenome) 6S RNA
Rfam family: 6S / SsrS RNA
About the family: E. coli 6S RNA was the first non coding RNA to be sequenced, but its function was unknown until recently. It consists of 184 nucleotides that fold into an extended hairpin structure with a large single-stranded internal bulge. The 6S RNA specifically associates with RNA polymerase holoenzyme containing the sigma70 specificity factor.
Source: RNAcentral